RNAcentral lists this long non-coding RNA (704 nucleotides) under Neogobius melanostomus (round goby). RNAcentral's name for it is "lncRNA (ENSNMLG00000001399.1)". Lineage: Eukaryota; Metazoa; Chordata; Actinopteri; Gobiiformes; Gobiidae. The record is from RNAcentral.
CCAUUGCUCUUACAUUUUACUCUUAUAUUAAACAGAAAUAUUGUGACCUUCAGAUGGAGAAUUGUGUCAGAGCCAGGGGAGAAGGAGGAGGACAAAGAUGAAGAUGAGAAGCAGACGGAGCUGCGCAGGAGGAAGAGAGAAGCUCACCAGUGUGGGACACCAUGCUCUGAAACGGGGACAAACUCAGGAAGCGAUGCAGUGUUUCAGAGGAGCACUGGAGGCAACCGGCCAUGUUUCACCUCCAAAAACAUGCUGGUCAGGAUGGCCCACAGUUACAGCACAGAGUCGCAGUGUUUCAGGACUAAUUCUACAUCUGGACCUCAGGAAGGCUCUGAAGGACCAUGGAAAUGGUGGGAAUGGAGUUCAGAGUCCUGUUAUAAAUAUUUUAGCAUGUGCACAGCUCCACGUGGGCCGUUUGUCAAAACUCAUUCUAAGAUUCUUGAAGUUUGGGCAUUGGUAAUAUGAGUGAAGGUGAUGUGUAUAUCGCAGCAGAGAGAAAGAAGCACAGCAUGGCGGUCCGAAAUAGUGCGCUCUCUGCCCUGAUCCCAAGGAUAAACAGAUCAGAUGUAGGGAAGGCUCUGAGAUGGAGAGAGCCUUUUUAAGUGGUUAUUUGGUUGUGCAUUGUUCGGGCGACUCCAGUACCGACAGGCUGGAACUUAUUGUUUCAGAUAUGAUACUGGGUUUCAGUACCCAUCCCUACUUUC